Molecule: non-coding RNA, 554 nt
Organism: Danio rerio (zebrafish)
Lineage: Eukaryota; Metazoa; Chordata; Actinopteri; Cypriniformes; Danionidae
Source: Ensembl
ACAGAAGCCUUUUAUAAGAAGACUGAGGAUGAAGACAAAAAAGACAACCCUGCUUAGGCUACAGUUUCUUUUGAAUUAAUAUUUAAAAUAAAGAACAAAAAAAAAAUUAUUGAGAAGGCACUGACUUCCAGGUUUUCUGCAAGAAGCUCAAGGAUGCGCCUGAACCUGAGGAAAUCCCAGUCUGAACUGAGACCUUGACCAUAAGAAGAAAAAGAAGAUGAUGACGAAGAAGAGGAAAGCUAAUCCUUGGAAGCAGGAUGAAAAAGAGAAAAUGUAACAAAAAGGAACAGACUGAUAUUUGACUGAAGAAUAUCUGCCAUUUAUAUCUACUGUAUUAACAUGAUGUCACUGAAUACAAUCCCUCAUCUUUCAUCCACUAGUCAAACUCUAACUCUUUAUUACAGUCUUAAAAUCAAUCAUGGCUGCUCAUUUCCAUCAAAACAAGGAGCACGAAAGCACCAAGCUUAUAAUUUGUUGUAAAUCUGUAGCAAAAUGUGUUUGUAAUUUUGUAUGUUUUCUAACUAUAUUUAGCAAAGUAGCUGCCCAUGUUUUGU